GACGAACGCUGGCGGCGUGCCUAAUACAUGCAAGUCGAACGAGAGCGCCCGGUGCUUGUCCUGGUCAAUCUAGUGGCGCACGGGUGAGUAACACGAGGGUAACCCGCUCAUCAGAGGGGGAUAAUAACCGGACACGGAUGCUAAAACCGUAUAGGUCUUUGAGCCGUAUGGCUUGUAGAGGAAAUUCGGCGCAUGCUUCUGCUGUCGGAUGUACUCGCGGUGCAUUAGCUAGUUGGUGUGGUCACGGCUCUGCCAGGCCGUGAUGCAUAGCCGAACGGAGAGGGUGAUAGGCCACAUUGGAACUGAGACACGGACAAAAGUCCUACGGGAGGCAGCAGUAGGGAAUGUGCCGCAGUAGACGCAAGUCUGACGGAGCAACGCCGCGUGAGUGAAGGAGGUGUUCGGAUCGUAAAAAUCUGUUGUUAGAGAAGAACAAGUGCUAGAGGAACUGUUAGCGGCGUGACGGUAACGAACAAGAAAGCCACGGCUAACUACGUG
RNAcentral lists this ribosomal RNA (498 nucleotides) under uncultured bacterium. Its description in RNAcentral is "partial 16S ribosomal RNA". It matches the Rfam family "Bacterial small subunit ribosomal RNA", at positions 28 to 507 of the family's 1533-position model. The record is from RNAcentral.